GCCCUCCCCCUCCCCCGCCCCGAAGAAAAAAAAAACAUGGAUAAGGUUGCUAUCGUGCCCAUCUUCGCGGGCGCCGCGCUUCCGUCAUCGCGGGUCAUCGCUGACUCCCGUGCGUCUCUCUUUCCUCUGGGUUCUUUGGCGGGUGAGUUGCAGCCCGGAAACAGAAAGCGGACAAGCAACGGAGACGAAGAACACAAAAAGAGCCAAGGUGUCCACAGCAGCACAAGCACGCACACACGCACACAUCAACACAAAGGCAUUUCGGCGAGGAUGCGUGCGUGAAGGGUCUCUUAAGCCGCCGCCGCACCUCUCCUCCCUCUCUAUCUUGUACCCGCCCUUUCUUUGUGUUUUCUUGUUUUGCCUUUUCGCGUUUGGCGCAGGUGCACGGGCGCGGACCGACCAGCAACGCGCCAGGCAGCAACAGCCCUCCGCACUCUGCCCUGCUCCAAACGAAAACGAAACGAAUGGAAAAGGGGUCUCUGUGUCUGGGCUAUCCUGGCGUGUGUCUCUCGCUCUGUAUCGCUGUCUCUCGACGUACGCGUGCUUGUGUGCCCGCCCGCAGAAGAAAAGGGACCGCAGGCACCGCACACGCGCGCGCUCACGCAUACGACUUCGCAAACGCGUCAUCACACGCGUUGUGAACGGACUCCUCCUGUGUCUCUUGCCAUUGCGUCUCUGAUCUCCAGCUCCUUUUCUUUUUUUUUUUGCAAAUGUUUCUCCCUCAUGCUUCAUUGUUGUCGCUGUUGUUGUGUGCGUAUCCCAGGAACACCUUCGUCCACGGCGACCUUGCUGCUGUCAGCUCCACAUGCCGUUUUCUCACGUCAUUGUUGCUGCCCCCCUCUCUCUUUCUCUUUCUCUCCGUCUGUCUCCCCGGUUAAG
Molecule: unclassified non-coding RNA, 879 nt
Filed under: Leishmania donovani
Lineage: Eukaryota; Euglenozoa; Kinetoplastea; Trypanosomatida; Trypanosomatidae
Description: gene:unknown
Source: RNAcentral